This 992-nucleotide ribosomal RNA is filed under the name uncultured bacterium. RNAcentral describes it as "bacterial SSU rRNA". It matches the Rfam family "Bacterial small subunit ribosomal RNA", at positions 462 to 1447 of the family's 1533-position model. The record is from RNAcentral.
GAAGAUAAUGACGGUAUUUUAUGAAUAAGCGCCGGCUAAUUCCGUGCCAGCAGCCCGCGGUAAUACGGGGGGUGCAAGCGUUAUUCGGAAUCACUGGGCGUAAAGAGCAUGUAGGCGGAUUAAUAAGUUUGAAGUGAAAUUCCUAUAGCUUAACUAUAGAACUGCUUUGAAAACUGUUAAUUUAGAAUGUGGGAGAGGUAGAUGGAAUUUCUGGUGUAGGGGUAAAAUCCGUAGAGAUCAGAAGGAAUACCGAUUGCGAAGGCGAUCUACUGGAACAUUAUUGACGCUGAGAUGCGAAAGCGUGGGGAGCAAACAGGAUUAGAUACCCUGGUAGUCCACGCCCUAAACGAUGUACACUAGUUGUUGUGAGACUUGAUCUUGCAGUAAUGCAGUUAACACAUUAAGUGUACCGCCUGGGGAGUACGGUCGCAAGAUUAAAACUCAAAGGAAUAGACGGGGACCCGCACAAGCGGUGGAGCAUGUGGUUUAAUUCGACGAUACACGAAGAACCUUACCUGGACUUGACAUAGUAAGAACUUUCUAGAGAUAGAUUGGUGUCUGCUUGCAGAAACUUAUAUACAGGUGCUGCACGGCUGUCGUCAGCUCGUGUCGUGAGAUGUUGGGUUAAGUCCCGCAACGAGCGCAACCCUCGUGUUUAGUUGCUAACAGUUCGGCUGAGAACUCUAAACAGACUGCCUACGCAAGUAGGAGGAAGGUGAGGACGACGUCAAGUCAUCAUGGCCCUUACGUCCAGGGCUACACACGUGCUACAAUGGGAUAUACAAAGAGCGGCAAUACGGUGACGUGGAGCAAAUCUUAUAAAAUAUCUCCCAGUUCGGAUUGUAGUCUGCAACUCGACUACAUGAAGUUGGAAUCGCUAGUAAUCGUAGAUCAGCUAUGCUACGGUGAAUACGUUCCCGGGUCUUGUACUCACCGCCCGUCACACCCAUGGGAGUCGAACUCAUUCGAAAGCGGGGGUGCUAAAAUAGCUA